RNAcentral lists this ribosomal RNA (271 nucleotides) under uncultured prokaryote. RNAcentral describes it as "partial 16S ribosomal RNA". It matches the Rfam family "Bacterial small subunit ribosomal RNA", at positions 524 to 794 of the family's 1533-position model. The record is from RNAcentral.
UACGGAGGAUCCGAGCGUUACCCGGAUUUAUUGGGUUUAAAGGGUGCGCAGGCGGGAGAUUAAGUCGGCGGUGAAAUUUUGCAGCUCAACUGUAAAAGUGCCUUCGAAACUGGUUUCCUUGAGUGUGGAUGAAGUAGGCGGAAUUUGUGGUGUAGCGGUGAAAUGCAUAGAUAUCACGAGGAACUCCGAUUGCGCAGGCAGCUUACUAAACCAUAACUGACGCUCAGGCACGAAGGCGUGGGGAUCAAACAGGAUUAGAUACCCCUGUAGU